RNAcentral lists this transfer RNA (66 nucleotides) under Lachnaia pubescens. RNAcentral describes it as "tRNA-Glu". Lineage: Eukaryota; Metazoa; Arthropoda; Insecta; Coleoptera; Chrysomelidae. The record is from RNAcentral.
UUUUGCAUAGUUUAGAAAUAAAAACAUCACAUUUUCACUGUGGAGACAGGUACUUCCUUGUAAUAC